Molecule: ribosomal RNA, 470 nt
Filed under: uncultured bacterium
Lineage: Bacteria
Description: bacterial SSU rRNA
Rfam family: Bacterial small subunit ribosomal RNA
Source: RNAcentral
AGAGUUUGAUCCUGGCUCAGGAUGAACGCUAGCGGGAGGCCUAACACAUGCAAGUCGAACGGAGAUAAGGGGCUUGCUCCUUAUUUUAGUGGCGCACGGGUGAGUAACGCGUGGAUAAUCUACCUUGGAAUCUGGGAUAACAUUUCGAAAGGGGUGCUAAUACCGGAUAAGACCACGAGCUCUUUGGAGUUUGCGGUAAAAGGGGGCCUCUGUAUAUGCUUCUGUUUCAAGAUGAGUCCGCGUACCAUUAGCUAGUUGGCAGAGUAAUGGCCUACCAAGGCGACGAUGGUUAGCUGGUCUGAGAGGAUGAUCAGCCACACUGGAACUGAGACACGGUCCAGACUCCUACGGGAGGCAGCAGUGAGGAAUAUUGGUCAAUGGGCGCAAGCCUGAACCAGCCAUCCCGCGUGCAGGAUGAAGGCCCUAUGGGUCGUAAACUGCUUUUAUACACCAAGAAAAACACCCACGUG